CUACAGACGUGCUAGAGCCGGGUGGUAGGUGUGGGGGUGAAGGGGUUGCCGGAGUGUGUGGGGGUAAAUAGCUGGGAGGCGGCCAGGUAGGUCCGUUGGGAAAAAUCGAGGCUCAACCUCGAGACGCCGAUGGAAACCAUCUGGCUAGAGGCCGGAAGAGGAGAGUGGAAUUCCCGGUGUAGCGGUGAAAUGCGCAGAUAUCGGGAAGAACACCCGUGGCUAAGGCGGCUCUCUAGUACGGUACUGACGCUGAGACGCGAAAGCGGGGGGAGCGAACAGGAUUAGAUACCCGAGUAGUC
RNAcentral lists this ribosomal RNA (299 nucleotides) under uncultured Bacteroides sp. Its description in RNAcentral is "partial 16S ribosomal RNA". The stretch from base 51 to 299 matches the Rfam family "Bacterial small subunit ribosomal RNA", at positions 547 to 795 of the family's 1533-position model. Lineage: Bacteria; Pseudomonadati; Bacteroidota; Bacteroidia; Bacteroidales; Bacteroidaceae. The record is from RNAcentral.